RNAcentral lists this ribosomal RNA (598 nucleotides) under Schizotricha longinema. Its description in RNAcentral is "partial 16S ribosomal RNA". It matches the Rfam family "Bacterial large subunit ribosomal RNA", at positions 1829 to 2598 of the family's 2925-position model. Lineage: Eukaryota; Metazoa; Cnidaria; Hydrozoa; Leptothecata; Halopterididae. The record is from RNAcentral.
AGCUCCAAAUGAUAUUUGAAGUGUAACCUGCCCAGUGAUUUGAAAAAAGUUGCCCAAACCCGACAAAACAAAUUAAAAGGACGCGGUAUUCUUGACCGUGAUAAUGUAGCACAAUCACGCGCCGCCUAAUUAGCGGAUAGUAUGAAUGGUCAAACGAAAAUUUGAUUGUCUUAAGAAAUAAUGUACUAAAAAUUUAAAUAGUAGUUAAGAUGCUACUUAAAUUUGUAAGACGAUAAGACCCUAUAAAGCUUAACUAUAAAACCUUUCCUAAUCUAAUACAACAAUUGAAAGGGGUUUUGGUAGUUUCAUUGGGGCGAUGGCCUUUUAAAAAAAACAAAGGUAAGCAAAAACUAAACUGAAACACGGAUUUAUUGUAUAAAAAAUCAUUUUAACAAUUACGAAGUAGGCCAAAAUGACCCGUUAAAAUAAAAAACAACUUUAUUAACGAUCAAUAAAUAAAAGCUACUUUAGGGAUAACAGGGUAAAAUUGUCCUAGAGACCUUAUCAAAGACAAAAAUUACCACCUCGAUGUUGAAUUAAGAUACCCAGACGACGUAGAAAAUGUCAAAGGUAGGUCUGUUCGACCUAUAAAAUCUUA